GAUGAACGCUGGCGGCGUGCCUAAUACAUGCAAGUCGAGCGAACGGACGAGAAGCUUGCUUCUCUGAUGUUAGCGGCGGACGGGUGAGUAACACGUGGAUAACCUACCUAUAAGACUGGGAUAACUUCGGGAAACCGGAGCUAAUACCGGAUAAUAUUUUGAACCGCAUGGUUCAAAAGUGAAAGACGGUCUUGCUGUCACUUAUAGAUGGAUCCGCGCUGCAUUAGCUAGUUGGUAAGGUAACGGCUUACCAAGGCAACGAUGCAUAGCCGACCUGAGAGGGGGAUCGGCCACACUGGAACUGAGACACGGUCCAGACUCCUACGGGAGGCAGCAGUAGGGAAUCUUCCGCAAUGGGCGAAAGCCUGACGGAGCAACGCCGCGUGAGUGACGAAGGUCUUCGGAUCGUAAAACUCUGUUAUUAGGGAAGAACAUAUGUGUAAGUAACUGUGCACAUCUUGACGGUACCUAAUCAGAAAGCCACGGCUAACUACGUG
RNAcentral lists this ribosomal RNA (497 nucleotides) under uncultured bacterium. RNAcentral describes it as "partial 16S ribosomal RNA". It matches the Rfam family "Bacterial small subunit ribosomal RNA", at positions 28 to 507 of the family's 1533-position model. The record is from RNAcentral.